Molecule: ribosomal RNA, 679 nt
Filed under: uncultured soil bacterium
Lineage: Bacteria
Description: bacterial SSU rRNA
Rfam family: Bacterial small subunit ribosomal RNA
Source: RNAcentral
CGCUGGCGGCAGGCUUAACACAUGCAAGUCGAGCGGGCGUAGCAAUACGUCAGCGGCAGACGGGUGAGUAACGCGUGGGAACAUACCUUUUGGUUCGGAACAACACAGGGAAACUUGUGCUAAUACCGGAUAAGCCCUUACGGGGAAAGAUUUAUCGCCGAAAGAUUGGCCCGCGUCUGAUUAGCUAGUUGGUGAGGUAAUGGCUCACCAAGGCGACGAUCAGUAGCUGGUCUGAGAGGAUGAUCAGCCACAUUGGGACUGAGACACGGCCCAAACUCCUACGGGAGGCAGCAGUGGGGAAUAUUGGACAAUGGGCGCAAGCCUGAUCCAGCCAUGCCGCGUGAGUGAUGAAGGCCCUAGGGUUGUAAAGCUCUUUUGUGCGGGAAGAUAAUGACGGUACCGCAAGAAUAAGCCCCGGCUAACUUCGUGCCAGCAGCCGCGGUAAUACGAAGGGGGCUAGCGUUGCUCGGAAUCACUGGGCGUAAAGGGUGCGUAGGCGGGUCUUUAAGUCAGGGGUGAAAUCCUGGAGCUCAACUCCAGAACUGCCUUUGAUACUGAAGAUCUUGAGUUCGGGAGAGGUGAGUGGAACUGCGAGUGUAGAGGUGAAAUUCGUAGAUAUUCGCAAGAACACCAGUGGCGAAGGCGGCUCACUGGCCCGAUACUGACGCUGAGGCACAAA